RNAcentral lists this ribosomal RNA (197 nucleotides) under uncultured Bacillota bacterium. RNAcentral describes it as "uncultured Firmicutes bacterium partial 16S ribosomal RNA". It matches the Rfam family "Bacterial small subunit ribosomal RNA", at positions 338 to 524 of the family's 1533-position model. The record is from RNAcentral. Lineage: Bacteria; Bacillati; Bacillota.
CCUACGGGUAGGCAGCAGUGGGGAAUUGUUCGCAAUGGGCGCAAGCCUGACGACGCAACGCCGCGUGGAGGAUGAAGAUCUUCGGGUCGUAAACUCCUUUCGAUCGAGACGAACGGCCUCCGGGUGAACAAUCCGGGGGAGUGACGGUACUCGAGAGAAGAAGCCCCGGCUAACUCCGUGCCAGCAGCCGCGGUAAU